This 465-nucleotide ribosomal RNA is filed under the name Vreelandella stevensii. RNAcentral describes it as "partial 16S ribosomal RNA". It matches the Rfam family "Bacterial small subunit ribosomal RNA", at positions 338 to 795 of the family's 1533-position model. Lineage: Bacteria; Pseudomonadati; Pseudomonadota; Gammaproteobacteria; Oceanospirillales; Halomonadaceae. The record is from RNAcentral.
CCUACGUGUGGCUGCAGUGGGGAAUAUUGGACAAUGGGCGAAAGCCUGAUCCAGCCAUGCCGCGUGUGUGAAGAAGGCCUUCGGGUUGUAAAGCACUUUCAGUGGGGAAGAAAGCCUUGGGGCUAAUACCCUCGAGGAAGGACAUCACCCACAGAAGAAGCACCGGCUAACUCCGUGCCAGCAGCCACGGUAAUACGGAGGGUGCGAGCGUUAAUCGGAAUUACUGGGCGUAAAGCGCGCGUAGGCGGUCUGAUAAGCCGGUUGUGAAAGCCCCGGGCUCAACCUGGGAACGGCAUCCGGAACUGUCAGGCUAGAGUGCAGGAGAGGAAGGUAGAAUUCCCGGUGUAGCGGUGAAAUGCGUAGAGAUCGGGAGGAAUACCAGUGGCGAAGGCGGCCUUCUGGACUGACACUGACGCUGAGGUGCGAAAGCGUGGGUAGCAAACAGGAUUAGAUACCCCUGUAGUC